Molecule: ribosomal RNA, 38 nt
Filed under: Pythium aphanidermatum
Lineage: Eukaryota; Oomycota; Peronosporomycetes; Pythiales; Pythiaceae
Description: partial 28S ribosomal RNA
Source: RNAcentral
UUGGACCUGAUAUACAGGUAAGAUUACGCGCUAACUAA